This 301-nucleotide ribosomal RNA is filed under the name uncultured bacterium. RNAcentral's name for it is "partial 16S ribosomal RNA". It matches the Rfam family "Bacterial small subunit ribosomal RNA", at positions 509 to 810 of the family's 1533-position model. The record is from RNAcentral.
CAGUAGCCGCGGAAUACGAAGGGUGCAAGCGUUACUCGGAAUUACUGGGCGUAAAGCGUGCGUAGGUGGUGGUUUAAGUCCGUUGUGAAAGCCCUGGGCUCAACCUGGGAAUUGCAGUGGAUACUGGGUCACUAGAGUGUGGUAGAGGAUAGUGGAAUUUCCGGUGUAGCAGUGAAAUGCGUAGAGAUCGGAAGGAACAUCUGUGGCGAAGGCGACUAUCUGGGCCAACACUGACACUGAGGCACGAAAGCGUGGGGAGCAAACAGGAUUAGAUACCCGAGUAGUCCCUGUCUCUUAUACU